Molecule: transfer RNA, 68 nt
Filed under: Tragulus kanchil
Lineage: Eukaryota; Metazoa; Chordata; Mammalia; Artiodactyla; Tragulidae
Description: tRNA-Arg
Rfam family: tRNA
About the family: Transfer RNA (tRNA) molecules are approximately 80 nucleotides in length. Their secondary structure includes four short double-helical elements and three loops (D, anti-codon, and T loops). Further hydrogen bonds mediate the characteristic L-shaped molecular structure. tRNAs have two regions of fundamental functional importance: the anti-codon, which is responsible for specific mRNA codon recognition, and the 3' end, to which the tRNAs corresponding amino acid is attached (by aminoacyl-tRNA synthetases). tRNAs cope with the degeneracy of the genetic code in two manners: having more than one tRNA (with a specific anti-codon) for a particular amino acid; and 'wobble' base-pairing, i.e. permitting non-standard base-pairing at the 3rd anti-codon position.
Source: RNAcentral
UGGUACUUAGUUUAAACAAAACAAAUGAUUUCGACUCAUUAGAUUAUGAUUAAGCUCAUAACUACCAA